GCGAUGUGUGGUGACCUGAGGUCUUAAGCCUUUUCCCUGCUCACCUAAGGAAAUUUGUGUAUCCCUGUCCUGUGCUUUCUUUACGCAAGGGUAAUGCGGCUGUGUAUGUGGCACUAUCAGAUACCAGACAUGAGUGUCUUUUUCUCAGUUUAUUGGCGUGCGCUACGGUUUCUUGCAGUUACAGCUAUUGGAGCGCAAAUGCGUGUAAUUUUUCGCUGCUCUUUUCUUAUUUUCUCUACUUUUUAUGUAGAACAAAGCCUCCUGCGUAAAAGCUGAAUAGUGUUGUACCAGUGGAAGUGGGGUUGUUUGUUUUAUUUUGUUCGAUAUCUUGACGAAGUAAGCAGUGCUUAAUUUUGCAGAUUUUUGAGCAGAAAUGCUGGUAUCUGAGCACGGAGUAGAUAUAUUUCUCUGCUCCUUAAGAAAAUUUGUACGUCGUUUUCCAAGCCGACCGCGUUUAGUUUACGCGAAAUAGAAAAAUGAAGUUGUGUAUGCUCUAUGAUGAUCCGCCGCGGGCUUAGGCCUUUUCCCCGAUGAGCAGUGUUUUGUAUGCGAUGUCGCAUGUCUGGACUUGUUCAGUAGUGUUGCAAUUUUUAUCCUUUAAUAUCUUGUUGCUGCCGUCUUGUGUUAGACGUUGAGCUUCGUAGCAAUGUGCGGUAACGCUACGAUUAUUCCUGAGCGCUCCGUGUGUUUAAUGCGUUGUCCUCUGUGCGUGCAUGCGUGUGCUUUUUUUCCUGAUUUGUGACGUCAUCGUGGCAUGUCUGGACUUGUUUAGCAGUGUUGCAGUUCUUCCCGCCGCUAGUAUGUUGUUGGUGUCAUGUUGUGUUAGCCGCGUGGCGAUGUGUGGUGACCUGAGGUUUUAAGCCUUUUCCCUGCUCACCUAAGGAUAUUUGUGUAUCCCUGUCCUGUGCUUUCUUUACGCAAGGGCAAUGCGUCUGUGUAUGUGGCACUAUCAGAUACCAGACAUGUGUGUCUUUUUCUCAGUGUAUUGGCGUGCGCUACGGUUUCUUGCAGUUACAGCUAUUGGGGCACAAAUGCGUGUAAUUUUUCGCGGUUCUUUUCUCCUUUCAAGGCUUUUACUCAGAAUGUAGAUGAGGGGAAACAGUCAGCAUCCAGGUAGAGCAGGAGAAAGCCGCUCGGCAGAGGAGAGUUCAUGAGAAUGGAAUUUUUUUUUUUUGUUAUAUGUUGAGUGUCAGUAUUCGCUUUCCUCGAUAUGUUGAGGAAGUCAGCCGUUAUAGGUAUUUGUGCAGAAAUGCUGGUAUCUGAGUGUGUGGAGUAGAAAUUCCUAUAAAGCACCUCUCCUUGUGCAUUCCUGAGCUGCUGUGUGUGCGCGCGUGCUUCUUUUUCCUGGUUUGCGACGUCAUGAUGACAUGUUGGGGCUUGUUUAGCAGUGUUGCAAUUUUACCCGCCGCUAUUAUCUUAUUAUUUGUGUUAGCCGCGUAGCGAUGUCCAGUGACUCUGCUAUUAUUCCUGAGGUCUUAAGCCUUUUCCCUGCUCACCUAAGGAAAGUUGUGUAUCCCUGUCCUGUGCUUUCUUUGCGACAAUGCGUCUGUGUAUGUGGCACUAUCAGAUAGCAGACAUGAGUGUCUUUUUCUUGGUUUAUUGGCAUAUGCUUCAGGUUUUUGAAGUCAAGCACAAGUGCGCGCAAUUUUUCGCUGCUCUCUUCCUCAAAUCACCGAUUUUACGCAGAAGAAAGUCGCAUGGUACAGCUGAGAAGAGGGUUUCUCUGAUUGUUUGUUUGAUUUUGUUGGGUGUUCGAUAUGUUGAGGAAGUCAGCUGUUAAAGGUAUCCGUGAAGAAAUGCUUGCACCUGAGCGCAGGAUAGGAAUUCCUGAAGCACGGCACCCUCAGUGUAAAUUAAUUAUUUUGGAUGUGAGUCUGCUUCACUGCAUGACAAGGCUGAAAUGGGAACAGAGAAAAAAUUGGAGCGCUUCAUUAAUAGCGAUCCAAGUAAUAGGGCAAUUAUAGUUUCCAUAGAAAGUUGGGCUCCUAAGAUUAUAGUUUUGUAGUAGUUUUUCUAAACUGCAAUGCAAUAAUCAUUAAUAUAGUAUAGGAAUGCUAUCGUGUUCCCGUAAAGGCGUUCUGUCUUGUGCUUUGGAAUGCGCGAAUAGAACUUUGCUCGCAGCCUUUCCCGCCUUUAUGCUCGCAAUGCGCGAAUGGAACUUUGCCCACCCGGCUUCCGCGCCUUUUUUGCUCGCAGGUGUAGCCUCAGACAACGAAUGUAUGAGCAUAGAAAGGGUCAUGUAUUACAUAAGCCUGGAGGUGAUGUUGAGUGGUCUCACUUAUUAUUUUAAAAGAGCAGUGGCAGUUUACUGUAAUUCUAAUGACCAUGAUGAGCCUUUGGGGUGAAAAUCGUUAAUAUGCGGGGUGCUUUUUGUUGAAUUUUAAUGAGAGGAUCAAUGUCAUUAAGAGUAGGACAAAGGAAAUAAUCUUGCGGUUCAAUAAUUAAUAGGAGUCUUUGCCGCUGUCUUCUUCUUCAGACAGGAUGUGAUGACGUCACGCAGUCUGUAGCAAUGCAUUGACCGUCACUGGAAAAAAAGUGUAGCAAUAGAAAAAUGGUGUGUAUUGCCCUGGACGGAUUUAUGAUGUGCACUGUUUUUGAACAAGAGGAGUGCGUGUGCUUGGAAAUAGUUUGAUGCUGGUUUCCUUCUUUGUUUCUUUUCGCUUUUUCCCCCCUUGUCUGACAAACAUGUGCUGACAUGCCUGGGCUUGUUCUGACAUGCUUUCCUUCUGCAUGUAGUUUUUUUUCUUUUUGUACAAGGCAUAUUCUUGACGAUAGUGCUGCCUUGAAUGGGAGUAGAGCUAUUCUUAAUAAUUUUGCGAUUCAUUUAGUUCAGAGAGUAACCGCGAGGGGGACAGGUGUGUGACUUUAUGUCUUGCUGAACCAUUUUUUUUCCUGUACAGUAAGACUUUGGGAAUGAAAUGCUACAAUCUCCUCUUGUCUAUGGUGUUUUUCUGCAAUAGUUCCCUACGCAAUCAUUAUAGUAGAAUAAAGGAAAUAAUCUAGGGAUAGUGAUUCAAUAAAUAACAGGUGCCCUGUCUAGAGCGUACGCGUCCUUGAGCCACGCACCUGCAUGACGACCGCAUACCGAGAGACUAUUGUUUCAGGUUGACCUUGUCUAGAGGAGCAUUAGUGGAAAAAAACUGUGUAGCCCUGAGACAAUAGGAUGACGUCACGACCAAUGAGAACGGCCUGCAGGGGGCGCAAGGAUUCACUUCUCUCUUGGACACUGACGGGUCUCGACACGCAAAUUCUGCUCCUGGCGUUGGCCGUCAGUGGAAGAGCGUAGCUUCGGUGGGGUUCUGUCUGCCGCUGAUGGGGUGCGGAUGUGUGGUUCGUCACUGGUGAAUGGUGUUCGACGAUGCAGGUGGAUUUUGUGACGAGCGGAUUUACAAUGAGGGAAUGCUGUGAACGGGAAAAAUGAUGAGCUGUCCUAACUUGCCCAGACAUGCCAUGAUGACGUCACAGCUGACGUCACAGGAUGUCCGGAACUUGUGGUCAUAGCUGGGAUGCUUUGCAACCUGCCUCUGUGCUCCGUCGCCCGGCGAUGGUCAGCGGCCUUUCCGGGCCGCUUCCUUCAAGAUGGCGUCGUUGAUCUUCAACUAAACUCCUUCUCUCCACUCUAUCUCUAUCUAUUUUUUUAUUUUUUAUGACCACGUUUAUCCGGAAACGCACAGGGUGGUCUGGACACUAGUUAGACGCUCCCCAAUUAGUGUGAUGACUCAUUGGAUGAUGCUGAUUAAUGUGGGGGUUCCCAAUUAGCUCUAAUUGCUAAUUAAUGGCGUCCAGAAGCCUUGUAGCGUUUCCGGAUAAGCGUGGUCAGUACUUACUACUGAUGAUCACCUCGAUCUUUCGUCCUAUCCCACUGAUCAUCCACUCUAUAGCAAUAAAAAUAAAGGGGCAUUGUUCUACUUCGAGGAUGAGACUGGAGGUAGGAUAAUUGAAGAGGUGGUUGCUCUGAAAGCAAAAAUGUAUUCUAUCCGAUUGAGUGACGAUAGUCAAAUUGCUAGAGCAAAAGGUGUUAAGAAAAGUAUUGCUCGUAGGGAAUUGCAUCACGAUGUAUAUAAAGAUGUUUUGUUUAAUAGUGUGAAGGUAAGUCAUCCACAAAGGACCAUAUGUAGUAAGCGCCAAUGUAUGUAUACAAUGGAAACAACUAAGCUUGCACUCAUGCCAUAUGAUGAUAAGAGAUACCUCUUUAAUGCCAUUGAGACAUACCCAUAUGGAAGCUGUGAAAUUGGUAAUGAGUAAGUAUAUUCUUUAUUAUGUGUAUUGUGUUUCUUCUGUUACAGGUCGUGAAGGUUUUUCGGCUGGGUUUUUCUCCUACACCUGAUUGGCAUCACAAUUGGCACAAUUCCCAGCACAAUUGGCUUUAAUAAAUAUAUCUCAACUUGAUUGGCAUUACAAUUGGCAUUAAUAAAUAUAUUUUCACUUGUA
Long non-coding RNA from Ornithodoros turicata, 4431 nucleotides. RefSeq lists it as uncharacterized. The transcript is spliced from 2 exons. Lineage: Eukaryota; Metazoa; Arthropoda; Arachnida; Ixodida; Argasidae. The record is from RefSeq and is a predicted model, not a curated record.